ACUGCUCUAUCAAAAGAAAGGUUAAACACUGUGAGUUGAACACACACAUCACAAAGUAGUUUCUGAGAAUGAUUCUGUCUAGUUUUUAUACGAAGAUAUUUCCUUUCUACCAUUGGUCUCAAAUCUCUUGAAAUCUCCACUUGCAAAUUCCACAAAAAGAGUGUUUCAAAUCUGCUCUGUCUAAAGGAAGGUUCAACUCUGUGAGUUGAAUACACAAAACGCAAAGCAGUUACUGAGAAUUCUUCUGUCUAGCAUUAUAUGAAGAAAUCCCAUUUCCAACGAAGGCCUCAAAGAGGUCAAAAUA
Molecule: long non-coding RNA, 304 nt
Filed under: Homo sapiens (human)
Lineage: Eukaryota; Metazoa; Chordata; Mammalia; Primates; Hominidae
Description: HSALNT0357433
Source: RNAcentral